Molecule: long non-coding RNA, 737 nt
Organism: Daucus carota subsp. sativus
Lineage: Eukaryota; Viridiplantae; Streptophyta; Magnoliopsida; Apiales; Apiaceae
Exons: 2
Source: RefSeq, a predicted model, not a curated record
ACACCGACUCGUAAAGUUUCUUUCACCACUCGGCCCUCUACGCCAUACAGAUACUUAUCUCUUAAGUCUCUCUCUCCCCCCCUCUCUCUCUCUCUCCAGCAGUGUAUAUAUAUUGCUAAUAUACCGGAGAUUGAAGAGAAAUGGAUGAAGUUAACACAACUGUGUGCUGUAUGUGCGGCGACGUAGGCUUCUCCGUGGAGCUCUUCCGCUGCAACAGCUGCCUCUACCGCUUCCAACACUCGUAUUGUAGCAACAACUACGUGAAAUCAUCGGAGCCGACUGAGAUUUGCGAUUGGUGUUUAAGUGAGCAGAAAAGUUCUCCGUGCAGCGCGGCCUCGAGCAAAGCCAGUUCCCGGGAUGUUGGCAGCAUGAUCAUCACCUCCAAGCCGUCGGAGUAUUCGGGUGACAGUAGUCCGACCAAGGGGCACAGCGGCUCCAGCCACAUGAGAAAGAAUAUAAUUGUUAGUGGAGUGCCUUCCCCAAGGACUGUUGCUCGCAGGUACAAGCUUCUUAAGGAUGUUAAGUGUUAAAUUCGAAUGAUACUGUACCUAAGUUUCUACCUUAGGUUGUUACUCCAAAUGAUCGGCGCUGCAAUAAAAUGAGUCUGAUCGGUGGUUCUCAUGUUUUCUAAUAUGCGAAACAAUUUAUGUAAAGAAGUCGUACAUGUAUCAUGUAACUAAUUAAGACCUAAGCAAAAUAUUUACAAUCUAGUGAUGUGAUACUGUGCAUUUAAAUAA